Molecule: long non-coding RNA, 1417 nt
Organism: Peromyscus eremicus (cactus mouse)
Lineage: Eukaryota; Metazoa; Chordata; Mammalia; Rodentia; Cricetidae
Exons: 3
Source: RefSeq, a predicted model, not a curated record
AGAGCAGAUAGAGAGAGAGGUUAAAAAAAUACAGAAGGUCUUGUUGAGCUAUGUUGAUGAGACUUAUGUUACAGCAAACUUCCUGUUCCCCUGGCUUUAAGAUCUUUGCCCCCUCUUCUACAAUGACCUCUGAGCCUUUGCAGGAGCUGUGCUGUAGAUGGAUCAGGUGGGAAAAAGCAACCAUGAGAACAUCAUUGGAAGUGACAACAUGGGAGGGGAAAGCUCUCCCGACCUCAAGCCUAAACAACCCUCAAUCCCACGGCAACUCGGGACUGCUGAGAGCAGAUACCACCACUGUUACCAUUGACAUCUGAGUUUGAAAGAGGACAAUACGGUACCUUUAUGCUUCUUCUUCCCAGUGUUGUGAACUUUCAAAGUUUCCUGUCUUCUGUGAAGUUCUUCUCAUGGGACCAUCAUACCUUUUCCAUCCACUUCAGGCUGAGAUCAUUAAAGAGACAUCAGUAAAAAUUCCUUUCACGCUCGAGGAAGAGAACAAUUACCCUCUUCAAGCCUGAAGAUUUAAAAACCAUGUUGUCUUUCAUCAGCAUGGUUCACAAGAAAGUUGUGCUGAUACUUCAUACUUGAAAGGGGCUUGAUGUUUUCAGAGCAACUCUAAGUAUCAAUUAGAUGACAUCUCUGUGAAGCAGGAGACACCUCUAGGAGUGCCCGUGAGGGCUUUCCCGAAGAAGUUGUGAUGAGAGAAGAAAACCCACUUGGAGGACUGAUGUCCCAGACCAAAGGAGCGAGCAAGCUGAGUGCCGUGGCUCAUCUCGCUUGGCUUCCUGACUGUAGAAGCCAUGUGACCAGCCGCCUCACGCUCCAUGCCACGCCUUCCCUGCCAUGAUGGACUGUACCCCCUCAGACCACGGGCCAAGACUGAUCUUUCUUAACCUGCCUUAGUCAGGAGUUCUGUCACAGUGGUGGGAAAAGGGACCAAAGUGUGCACUUACUGUACACGCCCACACAGGUCAGAAAGGAGGGACUCCGUGGUGUGGGCUGACAAAGUUUCACAGUAAUAGAGACAGCAAGCAAAACAAGGACUCCUAUCACUUCAGGAUACACAUAGUACAUACAAAGAAGUACAAACACCUGGACAAGCUGACUUGAUGAUCAUCAGAUUCUGGGUUAUUGCACAACAGGUCCUCAGUCAGUAACUAAUGGUAUGGGGAAUUAAGGGGCAGUGUACAAUGUUACAGCAAAAAGGUUAUAGGAAAUGCUACACAGGGUCUCUUAGUACUAGACAAACGUGCUAGAAGCUCUAGUUUUGAAGGACUAUCAGAUAUGAAAGGAAGGGCAGAACCCCAAUAGUGAAAUGAGUAACACUGUGAGGGUAGAAACAGGCUGCACUCACACAAACAGCUUUCCCAGUCCUAGUGGACACUCUAGCUAGUCCUGUAGUUGACUUCAGAGUUCAACC